UAAGGCAACAGACUAAGAAGGGAGUUACAGUGUUGGCUAAGGUGACUGACUCAGACUAUCAAGAUGAAAUCAGUCGACUACUCCACGAUGCAGGAUCGAAGAACAAAGACAGAAUUCAGAUGGGCCUUUUGUCAGAGCAUUCAGGUACUUACUGAUUGAGGAAGGCAAAGAGGUACCUCAUCACUAUAAGGACCGACCUGGGCAAAGUCAGGAGGAGUUUGCGGAUGUGAAGCGCCCUCUCAUAGAGAUUAUCUAUUCCUACAGACAGAAGAUGACAUGGUCAGAGUCCUUUCACUUGCCACAUUUAAAACAGAACACUGCAGUACAUGUAUUACCGGUACACAUCUGAAUAUAAGCAACACCCUGCUCUUGUGUGAGAUCCAAUUGUAACCAAAACAGCGAAUAAAUGAUCGGCUUGGGUAUACCACCAUUCCAGAGGGCAUCUCCUCUGACCCUUACCGUUUUCUCCGAUUUUCAUGGACUUGGCUUUGAGUAAUUUAGAGUCUUCUAGAUUUAAAAACCAUUUUUUCCUUUGCUGCUAAUUCUAAAUUUUGCAUCUGAUAUGAUUUCAACUUCUUGCUGCAU
This 585-nucleotide long non-coding RNA is filed under the name Homo sapiens (human). RNAcentral describes it as "HSALNT0368754". The record is from RNAcentral. Lineage: Eukaryota; Metazoa; Chordata; Mammalia; Primates; Hominidae.